Molecule: transfer RNA, 63 nt
Filed under: Mystilus priamus
Lineage: Eukaryota; Metazoa; Arthropoda; Insecta; Hemiptera; Miridae
Description: tRNA-Asp
Rfam family: tRNA
About the family: Transfer RNA (tRNA) molecules are approximately 80 nucleotides in length. Their secondary structure includes four short double-helical elements and three loops (D, anti-codon, and T loops). Further hydrogen bonds mediate the characteristic L-shaped molecular structure. tRNAs have two regions of fundamental functional importance: the anti-codon, which is responsible for specific mRNA codon recognition, and the 3' end, to which the tRNAs corresponding amino acid is attached (by aminoacyl-tRNA synthetases). tRNAs cope with the degeneracy of the genetic code in two manners: having more than one tRNA (with a specific anti-codon) for a particular amino acid; and 'wobble' base-pairing, i.e. permitting non-standard base-pairing at the 3rd anti-codon position.
Source: RNAcentral
AAGAAAUUAGUUUAAAAAAAACAUUAACUUGUCAAGUUAAAAAUAUAUUUUCCAUAUUUCUUA